This 693-nucleotide long non-coding RNA is filed under the name Citrus x clementina. RNAcentral describes it as "Citrus clementina (C. clementina) long non-coding RNA (CCLE_LNC001265)". The record is from RNAcentral. Lineage: Eukaryota; Viridiplantae; Streptophyta; Magnoliopsida; Sapindales; Rutaceae.
AAAAAAGGGGUUUUAUGAGGAGAUUGGAGGGGGUGCCAGUAGGCUAACACUACUUGAAAUUGCAGCCCUUUUUAAUUUUAAAACGACAGAUUUUUGGACCUGACCCUUAUGAAGAGAGCCCACUUAUAAUGGCCCAAAAAAUGAAUGGUACAAAGGAUCUGGCCCCGCUUGAAUAGUUUGAUGGCCCAAUGCAACUGGCCAAGUACAAUAAAAAACUUAAAUUAAAUACCAUAGUUACUGUUACUUAGAGAUGUCUUUGUCCUCAAUCGAACUAGACAAUUUGACAAUUUAAAAAAAAUGAAAAAAAACAAAAAAGGAGUUGGUCUGUUGGUGAAAGAGCGUCAACUAGAGAUGGUCAACGGACUGUGCCAUGCCGGCCCAGGCCCAUCAAAAGAAGCUCAUGCGUGCUCGUGCUCAUGCCGUGUCGUGCCACUAUUCAUUUCGUGCCGUGCCGUUCCAAUCCGGCACACGUGCCGUGUCCACACGUGCUCGUGCUCGUGCCCACUCGUGUCGUGCCCACACGUGUCGUGCCAUGGGCCGUGCCUAGAAAAAAUAGCCCACUAAGCGUUUUUAUUUUUUAUUUUUUUAAGAACGUAUGCCAAGUUGUUGUCUUAUUUUUUUCAAGCUUAUGUAUUUUUUUUUUAUUCAUAUGCCUUUAUUUUAAUUUAAUAGAAUAAAAAAUUCAAAACUCAA